This 233-nucleotide ribosomal RNA is filed under the name uncultured bacterium. RNAcentral describes it as "partial 16S ribosomal RNA". It matches the Rfam family "Bacterial small subunit ribosomal RNA", at positions 118 to 347 of the family's 1533-position model. The record is from RNAcentral.
UGAGUAACCUGCCCUUCACUCUGGGAUAACUCCGGGAAACCGGGGCUAAUACUGGAUAUGACUCGAACAGGCAUCUGUUUCGGGUGGAAAGAUUUAUUGGUGGAGGAUGGGCUCGCGGCCUAUCAGCUUGUUGGUGAGGUAAUGGCUCACCAAGGCGACGACGGGUAGCUGGUCUGAGAGGAUGGCCAGCCACAUUGGGACUGAGACACGGCCCAGACCUCCGUACGGGAGCA